GACGAACGCUGGCGGCGUGCCUAAUACAUGCAAGUAGAACGCUGAAGGAGGAGCUUGCUUCUCUGGAUGAGUUGCGAACGGGUGAGUAACGCGUAGGUAACCUGCCUGGUAGCGGGGGAUAACUAUUGGAAACGAUAGCUAAUACCGCAUAAUAGUAGAUGUUGCAUGACAUUUGCUUAAAAGGUGCAAUUGCAUCACUACCAGAUGGACCUGCGUUGUAUUAGCUAGUUGGUGGGGUAACGGCUCACCAAGGCGACGAUACAUAGCCGACCUGAGAGGGUGAUCGGCCACACUGGGACUGAGACACGGCCCAGACUCCUACGGGAGGCAGCAGUAGGGAAUCUUCGGCAAUGGACGGAAGUCUGACCGAGCAACGCCGCGUGAGUGAAGAAGGUUUUCGGAUCGUAAAGCUCUGUUGUAAGAGAAGAACGAGUGUGAGAGUGGAAAGUUCACACUGUGACGGUAUCUUGCCAGAAAGGGACGGCUAACUACGUG
This 495-nucleotide ribosomal RNA is filed under the name uncultured bacterium. RNAcentral describes it as "partial 16S ribosomal RNA". It matches the Rfam family "Bacterial small subunit ribosomal RNA", at positions 28 to 507 of the family's 1533-position model. The record is from RNAcentral.